ACUCAUAGUAGAGAGAAAAUACCAUAAACAAAAUACUGACAUAAGUUACUUUUAGUUUCAGUUUGGUAAUUGGAGUAUAAUAAUCAUGGGGAGAAAGAGAAUUUCACAAGGAUGGAGCUGCCAAAAAGACAGAUGUGCCAGGCUAUCCAGUGUAUGACCAGGAACAGUAAGUUUCCAGUUUUCAACAGCCAGGGAGAUGAACUUUGUGGAAAUUGGAC
This 218-nucleotide long non-coding RNA is filed under the name Mytilus galloprovincialis (Mediterranean mussel). The record is from RNAcentral. Lineage: Eukaryota; Metazoa; Mollusca; Bivalvia; Mytilida; Mytilidae.